Long non-coding RNA from Aplysia californica (California sea hare), 365 nucleotides. RefSeq lists it as uncharacterized. The record is from RefSeq and is a predicted model, not a curated record. Lineage: Eukaryota; Metazoa; Mollusca; Gastropoda; Aplysiida; Aplysiidae. The transcript is spliced from 3 exons.
UUCUCGGCCAUGAGCAAAGAUGAACAUCAGAUCCUGUUCAUGGCGUUGGAACCUCUGUUUUCCCUCAGUGCCUCUCUGGUUACCAAGUUGGAAAACGCUAUAGACUCUUGGGAUUCUGAUUCGAGUCGGAUAGGUAACCUUUUCUCCAACACAUUCUGGAGCUACUACGAGGACUACUAUCAGGGAUAUUGUCGAGCCAAAAGGUAAGUAGAUGCACCGUUAACUUAAUUAGUAUCGUGCUUGACUGUCAUCGGAGACAAAGAAAGGUAAAUUACCUUGUAAUGAUUGUAGGUGUCAUUCCAUUCCCGCAUCUGUGGUGUAGCGGUUAGGUGCUCUGCCGUCGCACGGAGACGACCCGAGUUCGA